This 497-nucleotide ribosomal RNA is filed under the name uncultured bacterium. RNAcentral's name for it is "partial 16S ribosomal RNA". It matches the Rfam family "Bacterial small subunit ribosomal RNA", at positions 28 to 507 of the family's 1533-position model. The record is from RNAcentral.
GAUGAACGCUGGCGGCGUGCCUAAUACAUGCAAGUCGAGCGAACGGACGAGAAGCUUGCUUCUCUGAUGUUAGCGGCGGACGGGUGAGUAACACGUGGAUAACCUACCUAUAAGACUGGGAUAACUUCGGGAAACCGGAGCUAAUACCGGAUGAUAUUUUGAACCGCAUGGUUCAAAAGUGAAAGACGGCCUUGCUGUCACUUAUAGAUGGAUCCGCGCUGCAUUAGCUAGUUGGUAAGGUAGCGGCUUACCAAGGCAACGAUGCAUAGCCGACCUGAGAGGGUGAUCGGCCACACUGGAACUGAGACACGGUCCAGACUCCUACGGGAGGCAGCAGUAGGGAAUCUUCCGCAAUGGGCGAAAGCCUGACGGAGCAACGCCGCGUGAGUGAUGAAGGUCUUCGGAUCGUAAAACUCUGUUAUUAGGGAAGAACAUAUGUGUAAGUAACUGUGCGCAUCUUGACGGUACCUAAUCAGAAAGCCACGGCUAACUACGUG